UACGGGGGGAGCAAGCGUUGCUCGGAAUCAUUGGGCGUAAAGCGCACGUAGGCGGCCUGAUAAGUCGGGUGUGAAAGCCCUGGGCUCAACCCAGGAAGUGCACUCGAAACUGUCAGGCUUGAAUAUGGAAGAGGGUCGCGGAAUUCCCGGUGUAGAGGUGAAAUUCGUAGAUAUUCGGAAGAACACCAGUGGCGAAGGCGACUCACUGGACACGUAUUGACGCUGAGGUGCGAAAGCGUGGGGAGCAAACAGG
Molecule: ribosomal RNA, 253 nt
Filed under: uncultured bacterium
Lineage: Bacteria
Description: partial 16S ribosomal RNA
Rfam family: Bacterial small subunit ribosomal RNA
Source: RNAcentral